UACGUAGGUCCCGAGCGUUGUCCGGAUUUAUUGGGCGUAAAGCGAGCGCAGGUGGUUUAUUAAGUCUGGUGUAAAAGGCAGUGGCUCAACCAUUGUAUGCAUUGGAAACUGGUAGACUUGAGUGCAGGAGAGGAGAGUGGAAUUCCAUGUUUAGCGGUGAAAUGCGUAGAUAUAUGGAGGAACACCGGUGGCGAAAGCGGCUCUCUGGCCUGUAACUGACACUGAGGCUCGAAAGCGUGGGGAGCAAACAGG
RNAcentral lists this ribosomal RNA (252 nucleotides) under uncultured bacterium. Its description in RNAcentral is "partial 16S ribosomal RNA". It matches the Rfam family "Bacterial small subunit ribosomal RNA", at positions 524 to 776 of the family's 1533-position model. The record is from RNAcentral.